UUAAAUAUGUUUACAUUUUCUAGAAUGUUCCUGUGAUCUUUGUUCAACCCACUGGAUUGGAUUUGGAAAUAGCUCUUAUCUUCUUUCCAAUAAAUCCAAAACCCGGGCGGAGAGCCAUGCUGCCUGUGCAGAGCUGAAUUCUCACCUUCUAAAGAUCGGUAUCAAGGAAGAGCUGAUUCUUGGAAAUGGAGAACCAUGGUUGUCCACAUAUUGAAGGAAAUUAUGUUUAUGCUUGUAACUGUUCAUCUGGGAAAACUUACGUCUCUAUAGCAGGCCUCUUUUAUGAGAGUAACCUGACCUCCCCACUAAAGGAUGCACAACUUUCUGGCCAACAGAAGGUAUGUGUCCCUCCUCUCCUGUCUCUCUACUAGACCACCUCACUUAGUGGGAAAUAACAAAUGUUAAAUGUAAUGCAAGUGAGGUACAAUUAAUAUACAACAAAAUCAAAGUAGAAUAUUGGUGUUUUUUUAAAAUAAUUCAGGGUAAAAAGCAACCAUAAAACAUGAAAUAUGUUGGAAGAUUUCUCAAAGUAUUCAAUUUAUUGUCUGUAGGAAGUUAGUUGCAUAUGCACUUGCAUAUUUGGGUUUAUAAAUCAAUAUAAUAUUAAGUGAAACCCACAGACAUCAUGACAGGGAAGAAUUAGUUUGGGAUUUUAUAAUCAGUAGAAGGUGGGUUUUUUGUAUAAUAGUAUGUUAAUAUAUAUUUUGCUCAACCUUUAUAAAUAGAUUCUUGGAAAGGAAUUCAUUGCAUAACAAAAGCCAAACAUAAUUCCUCAUACGUGUACUUAGACUCAAUAAAAGCAGCCUGAUUUUAUAACAAAAAUCAGGAUGAGGUAGCUUCCUAAAUGCUAAUUUAAACUUAAUUGUAAGUAAUGAAAGAAUUUUUUAAAAAAUUGAAC
This is a long non-coding RNA of Globicephala melas (long-finned pilot whale), 898 nucleotides long. RefSeq lists it as uncharacterized. The record is from RefSeq and is a predicted model, not a curated record. Lineage: Eukaryota; Metazoa; Chordata; Mammalia; Artiodactyla; Delphinidae.